Molecule: ribosomal RNA, 497 nt
Filed under: uncultured bacterium
Lineage: Bacteria
Description: partial 16S ribosomal RNA
Rfam family: Bacterial small subunit ribosomal RNA
Source: RNAcentral
GAUGAACGCUGGCGGCGUGCCUAAUACAUGCCAGUCGAGCGAACAGACGAGGAGCUUGCUCCUCUGGCGUUAGCGGCGGACGGGUGAGUAACACGUGGAUAACCUACCUAUAAGACUGGGAUAACUUCGGGAAACCGGAGCUAAUACCGGAUAAUAUAUUGAACCGCAUGGUUCAAUAGUGAAAGACGGUUUUGCUGUCACUUAUAGAUGGAUCCGCACCGCAUUAGCUAGUUGGUAAGGUAACGGCUUACCAAGGCGACGAUGCGUAGCCGACCUGAGAGGGUGAUCGGCCACACUGGAACUGAGACACGGUCCAGACUCCUACGGGAGGCAGCAGUAGGGAAUCUUCCGCAAUGGGCGAAAGCCUGACGGAGCAACGCCGCGUGAGUGAUGAAGGUCUUCGGAUCGUAAAACUCUGUUAUUAGGGAAGAACAAAUGUGUAAGUAACUAUGCACGUCUUGACGGUACCUAAUCAGAAAGCCACGGCUAACUACGUG